RNAcentral lists this ribosomal RNA (462 nucleotides) under uncultured bacterium. Its description in RNAcentral is "partial 16S ribosomal RNA". It matches the Rfam family "Bacterial small subunit ribosomal RNA", at positions 355 to 806 of the family's 1533-position model. The record is from RNAcentral.
UGGGGAAUUUUUGGACAAUGGGCGAAAGCCUGAUCCAGCAAUGCCGCGUGUGUGAAGAAGGCCUUCGGGUUGUAAAGCACUUUUUGUCCGGAAAGAAAUCCUUGGCUCUAAUACAGUCGGGGGAUGACGGUACCGGAAGAAUAAGCACCGGCUAACUACGUGCCAGCAGCCGCGGUAAUACGUAGGGUGCAAGCGUUAAUCGGAAUUACUGGGCGUAAAGCGUGCGCAGGCGGUUUGCUAAGACCGAUGUGAAAUCCCCGGGCUCAACCUGGGAACUGCAUUGGUGACUGGCAGGCUAGAGUAUGGCAGAGGGGGGUAGAAUUCCACGUGUAGCAGUGAAAUGCGUAGAGAUGUGGAGGAAUACCGAUGGCGAAGGCAGCCCCCUGGGCCAAUACUGACGCUCAUGCACGAAAGCGUGGGGAGCAAACAGGAUUAGAUACCCCUGGUAGUCCACGCCCUAAA